RNAcentral lists this ribosomal RNA (432 nucleotides) under uncultured Synergistaceae bacterium. RNAcentral describes it as "bacterial SSU rRNA". It matches the Rfam family "Bacterial small subunit ribosomal RNA", at positions 966 to 1382 of the family's 1533-position model. The record is from RNAcentral. Lineage: Bacteria; Thermotogati; Synergistota; Synergistia; Synergistales; Synergistaceae.
GAACCUUACCGUGGGUUUGACAUGUACGGUGGGUACGAUAUAGAAAGUUGAAGGACUCCCGCUUUCGGGUGGAGAGCGUACACAGGUGCUGCAUGGCUGUCGUCAGCUCGUGUCGUGAGAUGUUGGGUUAAGUCCCCGCAACGAGCGCAACCCCUGCAUUCAGUUGCCAUCGGGUGAAGCCGGGCACUCUGGAAGGACUGCCAUCGACAAGAUGGAGGAAGGUGGGGACGACGUCAAGUCAUCAUGGCCCUUAUGUCCAGGGCGACACACGUGCUACAAUGGCCGGCACAACGGGAAGCGAGUUCGCGAGGACGAGCGGAUCCCUUAAAGCCGGUCGCAGUUCGGAUUGAAGUCUGCAACUCGACUUCAUGAAGCUGGAAUCGCUAGUAAUCGCAGAUCAGCCAAGCUGCGGUGAAUACGUUCCCGGGCCUU